AUUGAACGCUGGCGGCAGGCUUAACACAUGCAAGUCGAGCGAGCUGCGGACGGGUGAGUAAUGUCUGGGAAACUGCCUGAUGUAGGGGGAUCCCUACUAGAAACUGUAGCUUAUACCGCAUACCAUCAGAUGUGCCCGGUUGUGCUUUGCUAGUGGGUGGUGUAAUGGCUCACCUAGGCGACGAUCCCUAGCUGGGCUGAGAGGAUGACAAGCCAAAUUGGAACGUAGACACGGUUCAGAGUGUUACGAGAGGGAGCAGUGGGGAAUAUUGAACAACGGUCGGAAGCCUGAUGCAGCUACGCGGCGGGUAUGAAGAAGGCCUUCGGGUUGUAAAGUACUUUCAGCGGGGAGGCGUUACCCGCAGAAGAAGCACCGGCUAACUCCGUGCCAGCAGCUGCGGUAAUUC
This 406-nucleotide ribosomal RNA is filed under the name uncultured bacterium. Its description in RNAcentral is "partial 16S ribosomal RNA". It matches the Rfam family "Bacterial small subunit ribosomal RNA", at positions 30 to 526 of the family's 1533-position model. The record is from RNAcentral.